CUUAUAUGAAGAUACGAAUUUGGGGGAACUGGAGUAUAACUAAAGUCAUUGUUUUACACAAUAAUCGGGUGAAUACAUAAUUCAAUUAAUUAUGCCAAAGCUGUCGAAUGAAUAAGAUUUCAAGAAAUGACAAACUAAUUACCGACGAAGUAGCGUGUAAAAAAAGACAUGAAGGUUGCUCAUAUACUUGAUGAUUCAGAGAAAAGGGUCUAUUAUUUAGAAACAGAUGUGGAACGAACGGCAUAUGUGAAUUUCAUAAAAAACUGAUAUAUUAGAAAAGAUAUUCUCCAAGGUAUUAAUGACAUAAUACUAAAAAAAACAGAAAAAUAAAAACAUUUUAUAUAAUUGUUCAUCGUAGAUAUGUUAUAAGUGCCAAUCUUAGAUGAGCAAAAAUAUACGUUAGAAUCAGUAACUUAAUUUUAAUUUAAUAAAAAAUAUGUUUCAAUGCAUACUAUUCUGUAUAACAGUGUCUAAUAAUUACGGAAAAGAAUCAUAAGGCGGAAUCUAAAAGCUUGUCAAUAUCUUGAAAGACAGAAUGUAAACUGCUUCUGAGGGAUCACUCUUUUAUCAAGAUUAUGAACCAUUUCUUCUUCCGAAAGCAUUUACCUACUCUUAAUUUAUUGAAUUUUCUUAGUAAACUUUUUUUUAUUUCUGUUUUCUUUAUUUUUACUUUAUUUUAUUAACUGAAUUAUUAAUAUCGAAAUCACAAAAUCAA
This is a long non-coding RNA of Ruditapes philippinarum (Manila clam), 715 nucleotides long. RefSeq lists it as uncharacterized. The record is from RefSeq and is a predicted model, not a curated record. Lineage: Eukaryota; Metazoa; Mollusca; Bivalvia; Venerida; Veneridae. The transcript is spliced from 3 exons.